RNAcentral lists this signal recognition particle RNA (299 nucleotides) under Cebus imitator (Panamanian white-faced capuchin). RNAcentral's name for it is "Metazoan signal recognition particle RNA (ENSCCAG00000001806.1)". It matches the Rfam family "Metazoan signal recognition particle RNA". Rfam says of the family: The signal recognition particle (SRP) is a universally conserved ribonucleoprotein. It is involved in the co-translational targeting of proteins to membranes. The eukaryotic SRP consists of a 300-nucleotide 7S RNA and six proteins: SRPs 72, 68, 54, 19, 14, and 9. The record is from RNAcentral. Lineage: Eukaryota; Metazoa; Chordata; Mammalia; Primates; Cebidae.
GCCCGGCGCGGUGGCGGGUGCCUGUAGUCCCAGCUGCUCGGGAGGCUGAGGUGGGAGGAUCACUUGAGCCCAGGAGUUCUGCCCUGUAGUGGGCUAUGCCGAUUGGGUGUCCAAGCUAAGUUCGGCAUCAAUAUGGUGACCUCCUGGGAACAGGGGGGCACCAGGUUGCCUAAGGAGGGGUGAACCGGCCCAAGUUGGAAACAGAACAGGUCAAAACUCCCGUGCUGAUCAGUAGUGGGAUCGCGCCUGUGAAUAGCCACUGCACUCCAGCCUGGGCAACAUAGCGAGACCCUGUCUCU